UGGGGAAUUUUGGACAAUGGGCGCGAGCCUGAUCCAGCCAUGCCGCGUGCAGGAUGAAGGCCUUCGGGUUGUAAACUGCUUUUGUACGGAACGAAAAGGUUUGGCCUAAUAAGCUGAGCUCAUGACGGUACCGUAAGAAUAAGCACCGGCUAACUACGUGCCAGCAGCCGCGGUAAUACGUAGGGUGCGAGCGUUAAUCGGAAUUACUGGGCGUAAAGCGUGCGCAGGCGGUUAUGUAAGACAGUUGUGAAAUCCCCGGGCUCAACCUGGGAACUGCAUUUGUGACUGCAUAGCUAGAGUACGGUAGAGGGGGAUGGAAUUCCGCGUGUAGCAGUGAAAUGCGUAGAUAUGCGGAGGAACACCGAUGGCGAAGGCAAUCCCCUGGGCCUGUACUGACGCUCAUGCACGAAAGCGUGGGGAGCAAACA
RNAcentral lists this ribosomal RNA (427 nucleotides) under uncultured bacterium. RNAcentral describes it as "bacterial SSU rRNA". It matches the Rfam family "Bacterial small subunit ribosomal RNA", at positions 355 to 774 of the family's 1533-position model. The record is from RNAcentral.